GAAACAGGUGAUUGCAGUUGCUUGUGAAUGAAUUUCGAUUCCCUCAUCACAUAUGGGUUGUGAAGUUGAUAAAUUUCAGAACAAGUUUUUAUUAUAACAUAGGUUGUACUAGUUCUUGUGAAAGAGGAUGUAUCUUGCAUUUUAACAGCACCUGUUGCAAUUAACCAGCAUGUUCUGCAGUGUAUGAAAUUGAAGAGCUACUGUCUUUGUGGAUAUUGUUGCA
Molecule: unclassified non-coding RNA, 223 nt
Filed under: Hevea brasiliensis (rubber tree)
Lineage: Eukaryota; Viridiplantae; Streptophyta; Magnoliopsida; Malpighiales; Euphorbiaceae
Source: RNAcentral